GUUAAAGCCAGAUCUUGUCAUUCGGGUUUAAGGUUUAGUCUGUGGCGCUCAUAUUUGCUUGUACUGAAAAUUAACAUAAAGAAAUCAUAAGUUUGUUGAUCGCUAGUGCAAACCGUCAUGUCCAUGUUUAUGCUGAAGAUAUAUUUUAUAGUUGCUGCAAUACAAAUCGUACAGGCGACAAACGAAAAUGUUCCUAGAGCCAAACGGUAUGAAAAUGGAUAUGGGUGGAACUGGAGUUCUAUUAGUUUACAAGACACAACGCCAGUAAGUAAAAUAAAAUGCAUAUUAAAAUAUUUAUUUUUGCAAUUAGACCUUUGCAGGCACUUUUACAAUUAAUCAACAAAAAAAUACAAAUAUAUUACAUCUCUAGAUUUUUUUAAUAAGAAAAUUAUUUCAUAGAGGCAUAGGUAAUGUAACACAUUAUACAAAAUGAAGGUGAUAGAAUGAGUGAACUGUAUGUGUCAUGUAAAUCAAACAAUGGAUAGAAAAUGGUAAAUACUUAUAAUGAAGAUUGGUACUUGUACAAACGGUUGUAGGCAAAAAGUGACAAUAAAAAUAUAUGACAAUUCUAAAUUAAAAUACAUUUAAAAUCGAUAGAAAAAUAAACAUAUAAAAAUGUGCAAAGAGUUUGCAACACACAAUACUAUUUACAUUAACGGUACGCUUAACCAUUAUAGUUAUUUCUAGUUUGUAUUUACAUUUAUUAAAUAUUUUAUAUCUAAUGAUAUAAAUAAUACCACGCAAUAAAAACCUACAUAAUAUAGUUUACUUACGGACAUUCAGGCCAAAAACCGUGAUUUCAAAUAAAUAUUAAUAGAAGUUAUCUUUAUUCAAAUAAACUUUUAACUAGUCAUAUUUUAU
Achroia grisella is the source of this 861-nucleotide long non-coding RNA. RefSeq lists it as uncharacterized. NCBI's taxonomy places the organism in Eukaryota, Metazoa, Arthropoda, Insecta, Lepidoptera, Pyralidae. The record is from RefSeq and is a predicted model, not a curated record. The transcript is spliced from 3 exons.